RNAcentral lists this ribosomal RNA (486 nucleotides) under uncultured bacterium. RNAcentral's name for it is "partial 16S ribosomal RNA". It matches the Rfam family "Bacterial small subunit ribosomal RNA", at positions 28 to 523 of the family's 1533-position model. The record is from RNAcentral.
GACGAACGCUGGCGGCGUGCUUAACACAUGCAAGUCGAACGAUGAACCCGGAGCUUGCUCCGGUGGAUUAGUGGCGAACGGGUGAGUAACACGUGAGUAACCUGCCCUUGACUCUGGGAUAACUGCGGGAAACUGUAGCUAAUACCGGAUACGACCCUCGGCGGCAUCGCCAGGGGGUGGAAAGAAUUUCGGUCAAGGAUGGACUCGCGGCCUAUCAGCUAGUUGGUUAGGUAACGGCUCACCAAGGCGACGACGGGUAGCCGGCCUGAGAGGGCGACCGGGCACCCUGGGACUGAGACACGGCCCAGCCUCCUACGGGAGGCAGCAGUGGGGAAUAUUGCGCAAGGGGCGAAAGCCUGACGCAGCAACGCCGCGUGCGGGAUGACGGCCUUCGGGUUGUAAACCGCUUUCAGCAGGGAAGAAGCCGCAAGGUGACGGUACCUGCAGAAGAAGCACCGGCUAACUACGUGCCAGCAGCCGCCGUAA